CCACAGUUGAAUGUUGCCAGAUCUUAUUUUGAAAAAUUGUGUUGUGUCUACAGAAUGCAAAUCAUCUGAAUGGAAAUGCAAAGCUUGCUUCGUCCUCGAUGCUCCAUUUCAGUUGAACGGUGAGAAGACCCAAACUUCAACGAGACAUGAAGAAAUUCAUGGAAAGAAAAGACCAAGAAAAGAGAGGAAAGGCUAAGAAAAGGUUUUCUGACCUUCCAUAUAUCUCAGUCCUGGGGGUUCUCUCUCAGCUCCGUCUCUGGCAGUUUACGGAGAGCGUGUGCUGUGACGGAGAUCGACAGAAGCUGCCUUGUACAUUCGCUAUCCCAUGCAAACCCCACUUCCAUUUGCACGUGGGCCAGGAAGAUCCAGGCGGUUUCAUCUUCCUGACUAGCUUUCAUCUCUCUGCAACAGCUGUCUGGUGAGCUCUGUGGUGAAGUCUCACGCAGGAUCUGAGAAGAAGUGUGCUCUGAUCAAACUGGAGUUGUCAACUCGGGUGCAAAAGUGAAAAGUCUGCCUUCCAGACAUAGGCACAAAGAUCGGCAAAUGACCAGCUCUGCUUUGCCAAAAAUCAGAAAAUGAUUUUGAGUUAUUUACAUGCUAAUUUCAAAUGAUCUCUGGCUUGAUCUGAGAAAAAAAAAGUAUGUAAAAAUGGGCUGAAAAAUGCACGUACAGCUUUUAAAAAGUGAAUGUCAAUUUUUCUAUUAGCACUUUAAAAAAAUUGGCUGACAGCGGGUGAUAACGUUAGAUUGGGCUCCCCCAUCUGCGGUGAGCAGCAUUCUGAGGUUACAGGUUUCUACAGACAGAAGAGCAGGGACAUACAAAAAAAAAAUCGUUACUUGGUCAAAUGUUUGGUUUCAAAAAGAAUCGUUUGUUGGUCUACAACAGAUGUGAGAGCAUUUCAAGGAAACAUUUACAUAUUUGAAACACUAGUUAUGAUGGGGCACUUUAUUUCAGUGUGAGGGAAGACGUUUCCAACUUUAAUUUUCUUUCUGGUUAGGGUUUAAGUAGGGGGGAUGAGGGCCACUUCCUCGUUCUCAGAAGCAGACUUACUUACUUUUUCCCCUCUAACUUAAGAAGUGAGAAAUCAUUCAAUUAUGCCGACUAUAUUUAACGAUUAGAAAGAUUUUUCUAUUCCAGGUCUUAAACUGUUGUGUUUCUUUUAACUUGGAGAUAUAGCUAAUGGAUAGCCAUUAUAGUUAUUUUUUUUAAUUUCUAUUUUCUCAUUGCGUUCAUGAAGCAAAGAGGAGAAAAGCUUUUGUUUCCCCUAAAGGAAGUUGUAAAUUUUGAAGUAUGUUUUUAUAAAUUCUCUCACAUGUAUACAGUCACUAUUUCUCAUCAAUCGCAUAUGUGCAGAUACAACAGCCCACGAAUGUGUCUGAUUAUUGGGCCAUCAAUUUCACUCUUACCAAAUAAAGUAGUUUGACUUUAUUAUUUACA
This 1437-nucleotide long non-coding RNA is filed under the name Felis catus (domestic cat). RNAcentral's name for it is "lncRNA (ENSFCAG00000049810.1)". The record is from RNAcentral. Lineage: Eukaryota; Metazoa; Chordata; Mammalia; Carnivora; Felidae.